Molecule: long non-coding RNA, 362 nt
Organism: Halichondria panicea
Lineage: Eukaryota; Metazoa; Porifera; Demospongiae; Suberitida; Halichondriidae
Exons: 4
Source: RefSeq, a predicted model, not a curated record
UUUUUAGCUACAUGUAGCAAAAGCAUGCCUUGUGAAUCCUACCUAUAUAUAUUUUAUUGCAUUAUAGGACAUUGAUGACUCACCUCUCACCCCAAAAACCGAGCCAUCCAGCUUCUGCCGUCAAGACCCAUAUCAGGAGUACUCUGAACAGGCCAGGCUGCAAGAGUCCGACUCAACCCCUACUCCAAAGAAGAGAUGUCUGCGAGAGAUACAGGAGGAGGGUCGGUCGCAGAGUUCUAACCACAACCUCAGUUCAGAGGAGGAUUCUGACCUGAAACAGGAGAGUGCCUUCGACCCGUGGCCGAGUUCUAACCACAGCCUCAGUUCAGAGGAGGAUUCUGACCUGAAACAGGUAAAUAAAU